AGUGAACGCUGGCGGUAGGCCUAACACAUGCAAGUCGAACGGCAGCACAGUAAGAGCUUGCUCUUACGGGUGGCGAGUGGCGGACGGGUGAGGAAUACAUCGGAAUCUACUUUUUCGUGGGGGAUAACGUAGGGAAACUUACGCUAAUACCGCAUACGACCUACGGGUGAAAGCAGGGGAUCUUCGGACCUUGCGCGAUUGAAUGAGCCGAUGUCGGAUUAGCUAGUUGGCGGGGUAAAGGCCCACCAAGGCGACGAUCCGUAGCUGGUCUGAGAGGAUGAAUAGCCACACUGGAACUGAGACACGGUCCAGACUCCUACGGGAGGCAGCAGUGGGGAAUAUUGGACAAUGGGCGCAAGCCUGAUCCAGCCAUACCGCGUGGGUGAAGAAGGCCUUCGGGUUGUAAAGCCCUUUUGUUGGGAAAGAAAAGCAGCAGGUUAAUACCCCGCUGUUCUGACGGUACCCAAAGAAUAAGCACCGGCUAACUUCGUG
RNAcentral lists this ribosomal RNA (492 nucleotides) under uncultured bacterium. Its description in RNAcentral is "partial 16S ribosomal RNA". It matches the Rfam family "Bacterial small subunit ribosomal RNA", at positions 29 to 507 of the family's 1533-position model. The record is from RNAcentral.